This 330-nucleotide ribosomal RNA is filed under the name uncultured Duganella sp. Its description in RNAcentral is "bacterial SSU rRNA". It matches the Rfam family "Bacterial small subunit ribosomal RNA", at positions 568 to 898 of the family's 1533-position model. The record is from RNAcentral. Lineage: Bacteria; Pseudomonadati; Pseudomonadota; Betaproteobacteria; Burkholderiales; Oxalobacteraceae.
UGCGCAGGCGGUUUUGUAAGUCUGUCGUGAAAUCCCCGGGCUCAACCUGGGAAUGGCGAUGGAGACUGCAAGGCUAGAGUUUGGCAGAGGGGGGUAGAAUUCCACGUGUAGCAGUGAAAUGCGUAGAUAUGUGGAGGAACACCGAUGGCGAAGGCAGCCCCCUGGGUCAAAACUGACGCUCAUGCACGAAAGCGUGGGGAGCAAACAGGAUUAGAUACCCUGGUAGUCCACGCCCUAAACGAUGUCUACUAGUUGUCGGGUCUUAAUUGACUUGGUAACGCAGCUAACGCGUGAAGUAGACCGCCUGGGGAGUACGGUCGCAAGAUUAAA